UGGGGAAUUUUCCGCAAUGGGCGAAAGCCUGACGGAGCGAUGCCGCGUGGAGGUGGAAGGCCUACGGGUCGUCAACUUCUUUUCUCGGAGAAGAAACAAUGACGGUAUCUGAGGAAUAAGCAUCGGCUAACUCUGUGCCUG
RNAcentral lists this ribosomal RNA (141 nucleotides) under uncultured bacterium. RNAcentral's name for it is "partial 16S rRNA". It matches the Rfam family "Bacterial small subunit ribosomal RNA", at positions 355 to 511 of the family's 1533-position model. The record is from RNAcentral.